This 429-nucleotide ribosomal RNA is filed under the name uncultured soil bacterium. RNAcentral describes it as "bacterial SSU rRNA". It matches the Rfam family "Bacterial small subunit ribosomal RNA", at positions 26 to 450 of the family's 1533-position model. The record is from RNAcentral.
AGAUUGAACGCUAGCGGGAUGCUUUACACAUGCAAGUCGAACGGCAGCGCGGACUUCGGUCUGGCGGCGAGUGGCGAACGGGUGAGUAAUAUAUCGGAACGUGCCCAGUAGCGGGGGAUAACUACGCGAAAGCGUGGCUAAUACCGCAUACGCCCUACGGGGGAAAGGGGGGAUUCUUCGGAACCUCUCACUAUUGGAGCGGCCGAUAUCAGAUUAGCUAGUUGGUGAGGUAAAGGCUCACCAAGGCGACGAUCUGUAGCUGGUUUGAGAGGACGACCAGCCACACUGGGACUGAGACACGGCCCAGACUCCUACGGGAGGCCAGCGAGUGGGAAUUUGGACAAGUGGGGGAACCCUGAUCCAGCCAUCCCGCGUGUCGCGAUGAACGGCCGUUCGGGUUAGGUUAAAGCGUACGUUUUUCGGACGUAA